UUUCCGUAGGUGAACCUGCGGAAGGAUCAUUAAAGAGAUCAUGCCCUCACGGGUAGACCUCCCACCCUUUGUUUACAAUACCUUUGUUGCUUUGGCGGGCCCGUUUGGCCCCGCGCUGAACAACCGGCCCCGGCUGGUCAGUGCCCGCCAGAGAACCGAAAACUCUGAAUUAAAUGUCGUCUGAGUACUAUGUAAUAGUUAAAACUUUCAACAACGGAUCUCUUGGUUCUGGCAUCGAUGAGGAACGCAGC
Molecule: unclassified non-coding RNA, 251 nt
Filed under: plant metagenome
Description: partial contains small subunit ribosomal RNA, internal transcribed spacer 1, and 5.8S ribosomal RNA
Rfam family: 5.8S ribosomal RNA (bases 203-251)
Source: RNAcentral